AUUGAACGCUGGCGGCAGGCCUAACACAUGCAAGUCGAACGGUAACAGAAAGUAGCUUGCUACUUUGCUGACGAGUGGCGGACGGGUGAGUAAUGUCUGGGGAUCUGCCUGAUGGAGGGGGAUAACUACUGGAAACGGUAGCUAAUCCCGCAUAAUGUCGCAAGACCAAAGCGGGGGACUUUCCGGCCUCGCCCCAUCAGAUGAACCCAGAUGGGAUUAGCUAGUAGGUAAGGUAAUGGCUUACCUAGGCGACGAUCCCUAGCUGGUCUGCGAGGAUGACCAGCCACACUGGAACUGAGACACGGUCCAGACUCCUACGGGAGGCAGCAGUGGGGAAUAUUGCACAAUGGGCGCAAGCCUGAUGCAGCCAUGCCGCGUGUAUGAAGAAGGCCUUCGGGUUGUAAAGUACUUUCAGUCAGGAGGAAGGGUGUGAAAUUAAUACUUUCAUGCAUUGACGUUACUGACAGAAGAAGCACCGGCUAACUCCGUGCCAGCAGCCGCGGUAA
This 506-nucleotide ribosomal RNA is filed under the name uncultured bacterium. RNAcentral's name for it is "partial 16S ribosomal RNA". It matches the Rfam family "Bacterial small subunit ribosomal RNA", at positions 30 to 523 of the family's 1533-position model. The record is from RNAcentral.